UCCUACGGGGCGCAGCAGUGGGGAAUAUUGCGCAAUGGAGGAAACUCUGAUGCAGUGAUGCCGCGUGCAGGAAGAAGGAUUCCGGAUUGUAAAGUGCUUUCGACAGGGAAGAUAAUGACAGUACCUGUAGAAUAAGCCCCGGCUAACUACGUGCCAGCAGCCGCGGUAAUACGUAGGGAGCAAGCGUUAUCCGGAUUUAUUGGGUGUAAAGGGAGCGCAGACGGGAAGGCAAGUCAGAUGUGAAAUCCCAGGGCUUAACUGUGGAACUGCAUCUAAAACUAUCAUUCUGGAGUGCUGGAGAGGAA
This 305-nucleotide ribosomal RNA is filed under the name uncultured bacterium. Its description in RNAcentral is "bacterial SSU rRNA". It matches the Rfam family "Bacterial small subunit ribosomal RNA", at positions 337 to 659 of the family's 1533-position model. The record is from RNAcentral.